GACGAACGCUGGCGGCGUGCUUAACACAUGCAAGUCGAACGGAAAGGCCCUGCUUUUGUGGGGUGCUCGAGUGGCGAACGGGUGAGUAACACGUGAGUAACCUGCCCUUGACUUUGGGAUAACUUCAGGAAACUGGGGCUAAUACCGGAUAGGAGCUCCUGCUGCAUGGUGGUGGUUGGAAAGUUUCGGCGGUUGGGGAUGGACUCGCGGCUUAUCAGCUUGUUGGUGGGGUAGUGGCUUACCAAGGCUGUGACGGGUAGCCGGCCUGAGAGGGUGACCGGCCACAUUGGGACUGAGAUACGGCCCAGACUCCUACGGGAGGCAGCAGUGGGGAAUAUUGCACAAUGGGCGGAAGCCUGAUGCAGCAACGCCGCGUGCGGGAUGACGGCCUUCGGGUUGUAAACCGCUUUCGCCUGUGACGAAGCGUGAGUGACGGUAAUGGGUAAAGAAGCACCGGCUAACUACGUG
Molecule: ribosomal RNA, 468 nt
Filed under: uncultured bacterium
Lineage: Bacteria
Description: partial 16S ribosomal RNA
Rfam family: Bacterial small subunit ribosomal RNA
Source: RNAcentral